Molecule: long non-coding RNA, 1779 nt
Filed under: Cricetulus griseus (Chinese hamster)
Lineage: Eukaryota; Metazoa; Chordata; Mammalia; Rodentia; Cricetidae
Description: lncRNA (ENSCGRG00015041700.1)
Source: RNAcentral
AGCGGGCCCAGGACCCGGCUCCGACCGCCGGCAGCCGGCUGAGGCCAGGGCGUGAGAGCCGGACCAGACGACGAGGCCGCCGCUUCCUGUCCGGCCCCGGGCAAGAGGGGACCCGAAGCGGGUCGCAGGGUCGGGAGGCGCGCGGGGCAGCGAGGGGGGACUCACCUCUCCACCCGCGCGGCCUCCGCUCGCGCCUGUGCGUUGGAGGAGUUCGGCGUCCAGCUGGAAGGCGUCCUUACCCGGGUCAGCACCAUCCCGCCCCGGGCCCACUCACAUCGCCAUCGCAGCAACCGCAACCACCGCAAGCCAGGAGUCAGUCAGUUCGUCACGGGGUGCUCGGCUCUCGGCCCAGCGCCGCCGCCGGCGAGCAUGCGCAGUCGCCUCGGUCCCGAAGGAGCGCGGCCGGCGAGCGAUACCUGCGUUCAACAGGUCCCGGCCCGCGGCCCCGCCCCUGGCGCUCUCCCCUCCCCCUCUCGCUGCGUCCCGCCCUCUCGGCGGCGAGGCCCCGCCCCCUCCGGACUCCGCGUCCCGCCCCCUAGGAGCCCGCAGCCGCUGUGCCCGCGCCGACGCCAACCGAGAUUUCAAGAUUUGCUCUCCUUUCCCGGCCCGCGCUCCCGAGUUCCCGCGAGAACGGAAGGCUUGCGUCAAUAAAAAGCGCGAGCCCCGGCGAGAGCUUCGGUUACUGACUUCAAUCAAGUUGAGGAUUUCAAGCGAGAUCUUCAAUCAAGCGAAUCCCAUCUAACAUGGACUGGAUACAAUCCAUUCAAGACUUUCACUAUACUAACAUUUUCUUCCUACAGGACCCCACAAGGCUAUUGUCCCAUUUCAGCAGGAAGUAACUUGGAGGAUGCUACUCCCCCUUUCCCCAUUGUUGUCAUUUAGGAUACUGUAUAUACCUAGUUAGGGAUAGCUUCCUAUUGUUUAUGAUUGGGAUUGGAAGGAGGUGUUCAGGCUUGGACACCUCUUUCAGAUGACUUUAGGGUUUAGUUAAAACAGAUAGUUAGGAUGUGACAUAAGCAGAUUGUUGUGUCUUCUUAUAUUUCACCUUUAUUAUUGUUAAUUUUGGAUACUUUACUCUGUUAAGUUUUAAUCCUCUUUUAGACUAAAAGGGGAAUUGUAGGGGAACCUGUAGCCAUGUCUGCUUAGGGGCUGGCUACAGGUCUGCCUAACCACUCUUGUGAGGGUGUGGUCAGGGUGACAUAGAGUGAGAGGUUCAAGGCUGUGUUUCACUUUCUUUUUCCCCUUCAGCUUGCUGUACAGACUGCUGCCAUGCCAGCUGGCUAGGUCGCUCUGUAAUGCUGACAUAAAUGCUACUGGAAGGAAUAAAUCACCAUGUGUUGUCAAAGCUUGUGUUCCUCGGACUCAGCAGCUCCUGGGACAUCCAGAUUCUUGUCUUUGGCUGUUCCUCUAUACUUUGUAUGGCAAGCAUGAUGGGAAAUUCCCUGAUUCUUUUGACCCUGGCUUCACAUAUUCACUUACACCCUCCAUGAACUUUCUGUUGUAUAUUAAUAGACCUAUAUGAUAUUAAGAAAAGUUAUAUAAGUUCAUUUUUACUCUAACAUCAAAGCCAAACUAAAGGCUAACGGCCCAAUGAAAAAGGGAUGAGAACCAUUUAGUACUGAGGAAUGAACUUUAAAAUAAAAGUGAAGUAUCACUCCCAAAAGAGCUGAAAAAUUCCAAGGUCAAUUUAAAGUGUAAAAUAAGAUACAAUUGUUUAAAAGAGAGAGAUGAGGGGAUUUUGUUUUUUAUAGUGUGGACUCAUUUUAUCUCACUUAUUAG